GGGCAGAAACUCCUCUGGGUUCUUCCAGAGGUUGGGGUCUCUCCCAAUUGCCCAAACGUUUACGUGGACUUGGGUUUUCGGGUAAAUGUGGUACCCGUUUAUCUCAAAAUGUGACAUGGUUUCUCUUGGAACUAGAAGUGGGACGGGAGGAUGCAGUCUCAAAGUUUCUUUGACCACCAUCUUGAGGUAGUGAAGCUGAUCGACAUCACCCUUCGUGACUUUUCCUUUUUUUCCAAUGGAGCUUCUAACUUCAACCUGGGCUUUUUUCAUUAUUCUUGGGUUCCUAGCAAGCUCGGUCAUUGCCCAAGUUAGGGUGAUUGCACCAGUGUCCACUCCAGCCAAGAAUAAAUCCUGAGGCACAUGUUAAAAGUAGGCAAAAGAACACUUUAGUUCCAAGUAUACCAAGCUAAGCAUUAUGCCAUUCUUGGCUCAAAGAAACCAAGACGCAAAGUCAAAUUAAAUGAUAAUCGAUUGGCCCUUUUGUAGAUAGCUCCAAGGCACUCUACGUAACUGCUCCUGCCUCCCGUCUCUCUCCUCCACAUUUCCAUUUACAUCAUUAAUAGAACUUAUCAAGUAUUUUAUGACACGAGAUCUGACCAUAACUACAUUCAAACUUAACGAUGUAAAGUGUGUUGAGUUAUCCAAGUGUGAGCUUAGGAAAUGUGAUAUUAAGCUUCCCAAAUGGGGACCUGAUCUAUCAUUCAUCCUUUAAAUAGCUAAGAGUUGAAACAACAAUAAUACAUAUUCAUGAUACUUAACAAACUCAAAAAAGAAACGAAAAAAAAUGAGACGGAUCAAAGGAGUAGGUUGGUGGCUUACCAUGAUGAUUGCUUUUGCACUAUCUUUAGUAAACUGUACAGCACCGGAUUCAGACCGUUCCCUCUCUAUUUUCAGCAGCACGUCGAUGAUGUCUUCAUGCUCCUCUUUCACCCUUCCUGGGUUGAGAUGGUCCUCAAUCACCCGUUCGUAGAAACCGUCCAUUUCAAGGAAACUCCUCUCAAGCCUUCCAUGAAGACCAGUGAGUCUAUCCACAAUCCGACCCACGUACGGAAAGAAAUCGGCUGCAGUGAACCCGCCCAACAAAGCCACGGCUUCAUGAACCACUUCUUGAAAUCUUCCGUCACCAAACUCACUCACUUGAAAACUCUUUCCGAAUGCAAUCCUGCAAAUUAUAUUUGCAGUGAGAGACAUUAACCUCUCGGUAAGAUCAAUAGGACUUCCAGAAGAAGAUGAUUGCGCAAUUGAAUCAAUCAGCAAAGUGACCUCCUCUUCUCUGAUGAACUGAAACGAUUGCACCCUUUUUGUGCUAAACACCUCAAGAACACAGAUCUUGCGUACUUCCCUCCAGUAAUCGCCGUAUGGCGCAAAACCUAUGUCUCGGUGAUUGUAUGAGAAUUUUCCAGGUCCAACUAAGGGAGGUCGACUGCAACAAUCAAUAUCAUGAGUUUUCAAGAAUUCCCUUGCAGCUUCCGCAGAGGAGACUACGACGGUAGGGACACCGAGCUGAAGGAGCAUGAUGGAGCCAUAUUUCUUAGAUAGUUGCCAUAAAGAGUAGUGAGGCAACGCACCAAGUUGGUGCAAAUUACCUAUAAUGGGAAGCUUAGUUGGGCCAGGAGGCAGCGGCUUCUUUUGCCCCUUCAACUCUAUUUUCCGUUUUAUGAGAAACAUAAGAGGGAGAAGUAGUAGAAGCAGAUGAAGCCAGAUUGAUGGAGAAUAGAGCGCCAUUGGAACUUGCUCGCUCUAUGAAUCUUGGGUGGGUUGUAGAUACACUACAAAAAGAUACUUUUAUAGUUGCGGUCCUAUCCUGCAGCUAAAAUUAACAAAAAGUUGUGACCAUAUAAAAUUUAGAUAGGGAUAAAAUAGAGCAAAGCUUAGUCAUAGACCAUAGAGGGUGCAGACAAAUCCUAUGGCUGUAGCCACUUAUAAAACUGCCACUAGAAGAAGCUAAAAAUUAUUAAUAGGCUAUACAGGGUUGCAGUUUUCUCUUGGCUGCUACACUUUUCUUGGCCCCUACUAUAGCUAAUUUAUGUGGACAUAAUUUAUUCACUACUAUAGAUCUUUAUUUUUAUUUAUUUAUUUAUUUCAAUGCCUUUUCCUAUUUAUCAAUUAAAAUAUUUUCAAGAGGAAAACCAAUAUCCGAACACAUUUACACACACACAAUUGCCAAUGCUUUCAACGUUAAUUGAAAAUAGAAAAUGCAAAAGACUUUGAUGAGCUGUUUUGCUGAACCACUGGCAAAAAGUAGUAAGCGAGCACUUGUGAGCAUCAAUUGCAAGGUAGGCACUUGCCAUUUCUCACCAGCCUGAGAUGCACUCACAAAUGCAUGGUUUUUGGUGUGUGCAGGAUGAGCCAUCCCUCUAAUGCUAGAAGGCAUUCUUGAGGUUUCUCACCACCAUGUCCUUUCCUCUUUCAGUUCGGUGUCCCGCUGAUCUGAUCUUCAGACAACACUAAAUAACUCAAAAUCAUAAAAUAUAUGUGUUAGUUUCUAAUUUAACAUAAAUAAUAAUCCAUAAAUUCAAAUUUCAAAGACCAAAGUUAAUUUAACAAUUAAACAAAAGUAAUAAAUCCAUUAAUCUAAAAUAAUUAAUAAAAAGCAAUAAGUCACAUCCUAUGAUAACUAAAAAGUGAUAAAUAUAAUUUAAUUUUAAAUAAUAAUAAUAACAAAUAAAUAAACAAUAAUCACCUUUAACAUAUGACAACUUUUACUCUAAAAAGAGCAUUUGAUGAAACUAAAAUUAAAUUAUAUUUAAGUUGUUAAAUUAAAACUUAUUAUUUAAUUUUUAUUUUAAAUAUUAAAAUUUUUUAUAAAAUUAUUUUAAAAAUUAUUUUAAAUCAUCAAAUUAACAUAUUUAUCCUCAUAAAUUAUAAUUAGGGUAAAGAAAGUCAAAUAAUAAUAAAGGUUGUGGAGUAACGAAAAAAAUCAUAGAGAUAAUUAAGAUAAAUCAUAAUAAAAAAAAGGAAAAUAAAGAUGUAAACUUAAUAAUAAUUAAUUGUUUUUAUUUAUUAUUUAAAAUUAUUUUUUAUUUUAAGUUAUUUUAUCAACUAUAUUUAAUGUAUUUAAUUACUUAUAAGUUGUAACUCGUAACACAGACACCCACUAAAUGAGAUUUUUGAUAAAAGUAUAGCAGUUUUAAAAAAUUAUUCCUAAAUUACCGUAGUAGAAAAAAUAAUUCCAAAUUUAUCGUAAUUUUGUUCAAAUAGAAAAGAGAAAAUAAUUUGUAAAUGAAAAAUAGUCUCUCCAGAAAAUAAGUAAAUCGUAUGUUGAGAAAUGGUCUUUUAAAAAAGUGAGACAUCCUCUUUUAAAGAGACGAUUUAAAAAAAUAAUAAUAAAAAAAUUAAAACAAGUGAGAAAUUAUAUCUUAAAAAGGCACGAUUUCCAAAUAUAUAUAUAAAAUUCUCACAAAAAAAAAGGAAAAAAACAAACAAGAUUUUGUCUCUUCAAAACACGAUUUCCACACACAAAAAGUGAUUAAAAAAACCCAAGUGGGCAGCACAAAAGUGAGAAGAGAGUAUUUUGGCCUUUCCAAGCUUGAAAAAGAGCACCCAACUAGGCUUUUCGUCUACAUUGGUAAUACGUUGAAUGCAAGUGUUAGGAAUGGGUUUCGGGGAUUUUGGUUGAUUUGUUUUGUAAGGGUAGUUUGAUACCGGAGCUUCAGGAUCCAGGGACUUGGGAGAAGUUGAGGAAGAGGUUGAGGAAGGAUGGGAGGAUUAUGGUUAAUGUUGGAGGGAGUUGUGUUGAGGCAAAGGAUUCAAGGAGAGAUGGGAAGGUGGUAAUGGAGGAAUCAUUGAAGGCAAUGCAUAAGGUCUUUGGUGAUCAGUCUUUGUUUUGAAUCUCGGAAACAGGAAGGAGGAUAGCUCCAUUGCUCUCACCGGCAAAUUGUCGGAUCUUGAUGAAUGGAAGAAAGUUCUUCCCUGAUCUUUAAGGUUUUAUGUGGAUGUGGACGCCCGUCAGUUCCUAGUGUGACUGUUUCCAGUAACCACUCUCUGAGAAGAAGCAUUCAGGAGCAGUCUACUGAUACAAUUCAUAUAUUUGUGUUUAUUCCUGUUAGAAGCAAUGUUUUUUUUCCCCGGAUUGUGCAAAGCUUAUUUAUGAGGUUUGAAUUUUUCUCCCACCUAAAAUCAUCCUCUCUUUUGUUUUUUUGUUCAGGGCAUCUAAGUAGUAAGGGAGUCAUAUGAUUGUAAAAUGGAUUUAUAAUAUAUUUUUAUAUUAAAUUAUAUUAAUUUUUUUAUAAUAUAUAAAUAAUUAAUUGUAUUAUAAUAUAUAUUAAAUUUUAUUUUUUUUAGUUUUUAAAUUAUCUCUUGAAAAGACUAUCUCCAAUUGCUUAAUUUAAAUUAUCUUUUGGAAAUCAUGCUCUUUUUUUUUAUCGUCUCUUCCAAAUGAAAUUUCUCAUUCUUAGUAAUUUGGAAAGAGAUAUUUUUUUUUUUAAAAAAAAAGAAAAGGUCAUAAAUUUGAAGAGACGAUUUAAAAAAAAAUAUAUCCCUCCCUCCUACCUAACAAAAUCUACCAUAGAUUUGAAAUUAUUUUUUUCAUUACGAUAAUUUAAAAAUUAUUUUUUAAAAUUACGAUACUCUUGUCAAAAAUCCCUCUACCAUUCUAAGUUGACCGGUCGGUCUAAGUCAUGGCUCCUAUUUUCUUGCCUUCUCCUAUUGCAGCAUUGCACCACGUGACAUCUCCUUUUCUUUCUACCAGGUCCUUUUCCUAUCUGCAACGAUUUUCAUCAAUUUCAAUUUGGCCACAGAUAGUGCAAACAUUUUAAUAUUUUUAUUCUUUUUAUACGGGAGAGAAAAGGGGAGAAAUAAAUAAAUUUAAAUUUCUUUUUAUUUUUCUACUUUUCUUUUCUUGUUAACAGUGAUGGAGAAUUGGCACAAGGUUAAGAGCAAACUUCUUACGGACAGUAAGACCUGCUGCUUCUUCCAUGCUAAUAUCUGCCUCCCUAAUCCCAUUCGGCAAGUUCCAAUUGAAACGAUAUAAAAGAUUAGCAAGUGCGAGCUCCACUGUUGCAAUCGCCAUAUACAUACCCGGGCAAAUUCUUCUUCCCGCUCCGAAAGGCAGUAGCUCAAAAUGUUGUCCUCUAAAAUCUACAGAGUUGUCCAUAAACCUCUCGGGCAAAAACUCCUCUGGGUUCUUCCAGAGGUUGGGGUCUCGCCCAAUUGCCCAAACGUUUACGUGGACUUGGGUUUUGGGGUAAAUGUGGUACCCGUUUAUCUCAAAAUGUGACAUGGUUUCUCUUGGAAGUAGAAGUGGGGCGGGAGGAUGCAGUCUCAAAGUUUCUUUGACCACCACCUUGAGGUAGUGAAGCUGAUCAACAUCACUCUCCGUGACUUUUCCUUUAUUUCCAAUGGAGCUUCUAACUUCAGCCUGGGCUUUUUUCAUUAUUCCUGGGUUCCUAGCAAGCUCGGUCAUUGCCCAAGCUACGGUGAUUGCACCAGUGUCCACUCCAGCCAAGAAUAAAUCCUGAGGCACAUGUUAAAAGUAAGCAAAAGAACGCUUUAGUUCCAAGUAUACCAAGCUAAGCAUUAUGCCAUUCUUGGCUCAAAGAACCCAAGACGCAAAGUCAAAUUAAAUGAUAAUCGAUUGCCCCUUUUGUAGAUAGCUCCAAGGCACUCUACGUAAUUUUGCGCCUUCCUCCUCCUCCGUCUCUCUCUUUCAAUGCUUUCAUAAUCAAACCAAGUCUUUAAAUAGAAAAAAAUAUUGGUUCAUAAAUUACCGGUCAAACCAGUAGGUAAACCACGAUGUAACGGGUAACAUUAUAAAUAUAUUAUUACAUAUUAUUAAAAUUAAAAAUAAUUAUAAAAAAUUAUAUAUAUAUAUAUAUAUAUAAUAUUUAAAUGUGAAUAUAUUAAAAAUGAAAGAAAAAUUAUUUAUUUAAUUUUAAUUAAUUUUAUAAUUUUAGAAAAUAUUAUAUGUUUUAUUUAAUAUUAUAAAUUUUUUUAGUAAAGAAUUUUUUUUUUUUGUUUGCCACAUGAAGGAACAAGUCGGAUGUAGUGGAGUGGUCUCUUAACUCAUUUAACGAGUUUAAGGUCCCAGCCCCUUUAAUGAUAAAAUUAAGGAUGGGGAACUGGGCUUUAAUGAUAAAAAGGGUGGGAAGGGAUGGAAGGGAGGGAGGCGGAGGGAGGUGGACUCGGCCUGUUUCAACGAAUAAAAAGGGGUUGCAUUUGAGCUAUUAUUAAGCUUCCAAAAUGGGGAGAUCAGGUGAUCUGAUCUAUCAUUCAUCCUUUAAACGGCUAAAAGUUGAAACAACUAUACUACACACUUAAGAAACUCAAAAAAGAAAAAAAAAAAAAAAGGAGUAGGUUGGUGACUUACCAUAAGGAUUGCUUUCGCGUUAUCUUUAGUAAACUGUAGGGCACUGGAUUCAGAUUGUUCCCUCUCUAUUCUCAGCAGCACGUCGAUGAUGUCUUCAUGCUCCUCUUUCACCCUUCCUGGGUUGAGAUGGUCUUCGAUCACCUGUUGGUAGAAGCCGUCCAUUUCAUGGAAACUCCUCUCAAGCCUUCCAUGAAGACCAGUGAGUCUAUCCACAAUCCGACCCACGUACGGAAAGAAAUCGGAUGCAGUGAGCCCGCCCAACAAAGCCAUGGCUUCAUGAACCACUUCUUGAAAUCUUCCGUCACCAAACUCACUCGCUUGAAAACUCUUUCCGAAUGCAAUCCUACAAAUUAUAUUUGCUGUGAGAGACAUUAGCCUCUCGGUAAGAUCAAUAGGACUUCCAGAAGAAGACGAUUGCACAAUUGAAUCAAUCAGCAAAGCGACCUCCUCUUCUCUGAUGAACUGAAACGACUGCACCCUUUUUGUGCUAAACACCUCGAGAACGCAGAUCUUGCGUACCUCCCUCCAGUAGUCGCCGUAUGGCGCAAAAGAUAUGUCUCGGUGAUUGUAUGAGAAUUUUCCAAGUCCAACUAAGGGAGGUCGACUGCAACAAUCAAUAUCAUGAGUUUUCAAGAAUUCCCUUGCAGCUUCCGCAGAGGAGACUACGACGGUAGGGACACCAAGCUGAAGGAGCAUGAUGGAGCCAUAUUUCUUAGAUAGUUGCCAUAAAGAGUAGUGAGGCAACGCACCAAGUUGGUGCAAAUUACCUAUAAUGGGAAGCUUAGUAGGGCCAGGAGGCAGCGGCUUCUUUUGCCCCUUCAACUCUAUUUUCCGUUUUAUGAGAAACAUAAGAGGGAGAAGUAGCAGAAGCAGAUGAAGCCAGAUUGAUGGAGAAUAGAGCGCCAUUGGAGCUUGCUCGCUCUAUGAAUCUUGGGUGGGAUGUACUUAGGAUACACAUACAUCAUCGGCUUCAACCCCAAUUCCAACUUCUACCACUAUUUUGUCCUAGCAGGCCUUCCAAUUAUCGUUUCCCCUUUUUUAUUCUAUAGCAUUACAUGCCACGUUUCGCAACGACAAGCACAGAUUUGUCUUUUCUUUCUUUCUUUCUUUACCACAAAUUUUGUGAAGUGAUACAAAGCAAGAAAAAAUAUAUUUUCUUUAUAAAACAAUUUUUUUUUUUUUGUCUACAAAUGUCCCCAUUCCAAGUCAUAACAUGCGGAUACAUUCUCAUGUAUACGAGGGCAUAUACAUACAUUUCCAUGUGCACGGAGCCGAUCUUGAAGCUAACUUUCAUUUUUUUAUUUUUUUUAAAACAAAUAUUUUAAUAAGAAGUUUCCAAUUUUAAAAUAUCUUUCCCAUUUUUUUUCAAACCCUAUUUUGUUUUUUUCCUUUUUUUCUCACUUGAUAUACCUUGUAUUAACCCAAAGUUUCAUUGGAACAUUCUCUCAAAUAUAUAGAUAAUUUUUGUCCAUCCCGAGAUCCAUUGAAUCCAAAGUAAAUUAUAAAUUAUUUUUAUAUAUUUAAUAACAUAAUAUAAAUUUUUUUUAUUAAUUUAUAAAACUUAAAUAUUUUAAUCAUGAAUAUUAUUAAAUAUUAGAAAAUUUUUAAUUUUUUAAAUAAAAAAUAUUAAAAUAUGGUAUAAUUUUUAUUUCAAAUAUUAAAAAUAAUAUGUGUUUUAUAUAUAUAUCAUUCAAUAUAUUUCAGGAUAUCAAUAUGAUAUCCUUGGAUAUACAUAUUUUAUCCUUAUCUAUUCAAUUUUGUCAACCAAAUAUAACCUAAAUUAAUGAGAAGUAAUUUAUUGAAAAUCUAUAACAAGCACAAUUUAACAUCCAUGAAGAUCUACAGGACUUCUUGAGUGAAACUUAUAAAUCCGGAGUUGAGAUGUCAAUUCUAGUGGCUAGAGCAUUGUUCAAUUUUAUAUGACCAGAUGAUAAAGAAAUUAAGGCAAAAAAUGCAAAUGAAGUUGUUUCAUGAGGAUGAACUUUGCAUAGAUUGCAAUGUCAAAUCUCAGAUCCUUUUUCAUUCAAUAAGGAAAACGAAAACAUAAAUGUAUGAGACGUGGACGGCACUCCCAACACUUACCUAAUAAAGAGUUCUCUUUUAGUGGCCCCAUUUCAAAUGUCGUGCUUCAUUUUACUUCAUCCAUAUAAACCAACAAACAUUUUGUUGUUUUCAGUGGUUAUGUCACGCACCAAAGCCAACUAGGGCCCAAGAUUUCACUAGAAUCUUAGCAACACAAGCAUCAUGCCACUCAAUAUUGCAGUAACACUCCCAGGAAUAGGGGCUAAUGGGCCCCUAAUUAAAAUCAUUCAAGCUACAAUGCAUCCAUGACCUCUAAAAGCUUUCACAUUUUUCUCUCAAUUUGCUUUUCCAUAUAUAUGCAAUAAGGCAACUUUCAAAAAAUCAAAGGGUAACUAUUUCUUAUCUUUAUUUGCAAAAGCAAUGAUUGAUAUCACUUUUUAUUUAGGACUAAGGAGAUUGUUUGCGGCUCACCAUGAGGAUUGCUUUAAUAUGAUCUUUAUUUAGCUUAAUCGCACCAAAUUUAGGGUGUUCGAUCCCUUUCUGUUUGCAGCAGCACAUCAAUGAAAUUUUCAUGUUCCUCUUUCACAGCUUAUUAAAUUGAGAUCAUGGAGUCCAAUCACCUGCUAAUAGAAACCAAUGAGGAAAAUGUCGGGAUAUAUCAGUGAUAUAUCGUGUAUCGGGAGGGGUUGAUACGAUAUUUCGUAGAGAAAAAUCAGAGGGGAGAUAUUUCCGUAAAUAUCGCCAAAAUAUCGGCGAUAUAUUGGCUCGAGGAGAUAUAUAGGAGAUUUUAAAAAAAAAAAUCACCUCUGGUGGCAAAAUAUCGGCAAAAUAUUGAUGAUAUAUCAGAGAUAAAUCGUCAAUUUUUUUGCAAUAUUUCCCCUCUUUCAUACAACGUGAUCAAACGGCCCAAAUCACGCCCGUGUUGAUAUGACGGCCUAGAUGUGAUUCCAAUGGUAAUAUGGCGAUCCAACGGCCAGAUUGCUCCCAGCUUUUUAUCCAACAGCCAAAAUUGAUUUUCAACGAUAAAUUAAUGUUCCAACGGCUAUUUUGGCCCAAAUUUUUUCUAUAAAUAGCCCAAAUUUAAUCUAUUUCAUCCAUUUUUGCUUUCAUUCUUCAUUUGCUCUCUCAUUACUCCAAUUUUUAUUAAGGUUGCUCAAUUAUUUAAUCAUUUUAAGGUAUAUUUGUUUUAAAUUGUAAUUAAUUUUGUUUGCAAUUAUAAUUAAUUCAUGUAUUUUCAAUUAAUUACUAUGUUUGUAAUAUGGAUGAAUUAAUACUAUUUUUACAUUCAAUUGUAAUUAAUUUUUAUAUUUUUAUUGAAUUAACUUAGGUUAAUUUGAUUAUUUAAUUAUAAAUUGAUAUGUUUAUUUUAGAUGAUUAUUUGUGAUUUAUUUUCACAUUUAGAAUUAAAUUAAACUAGUUAACUUUGCUAAAUUAUUUAAUUAAUUUAAUUAACAUGAACUACUAUAUUUUGAAUAUGAAAUAUGUUUAUUUAAUGAAUUUAAUGUGUAAAAAUUAUUGAUAUUUAAUUAAAUGAAGUAUUUUAUGUGACUUUAUAAUGAGAACAAUUAUAAAAUUAACAUUUCUUAUAGAUCGACAUGAUAUAAUUACAUCUAAUAUCGCAAAUUAUAUCAUAUGUAUAUCAAAUUUUUUAAUAAAACAACUUUAAAAUGUCCAUUAUACUUAUAAUUAUAUUAUUAUGAGGUUUUCCUUGCAUUUCCAUGAGUUUUUAACAAUUUUAAGCCUAUCAAUAUUUUUUUCCAGAAUAUCCGUGAUUACCGAUAUUUUCAUCCUUGGUAGAAACCAUCCAAUUCAUAGUAUGUCCUCUCGAGCCACCCAUAAAGACGAGUGAGCCUAAUCCACAAAGAUUGUCUAAAGCAUUGAAAAGUAUAGAAGUUCUAAAGAGAAACAUGCAUUGUAUAGAAAGUACAUGAUUUUAGUAUGCUAUACGUGGAUAAUAAGGUACUUUGUAAGGUUGCAAAAGAUGAUACAAUUGUUUAUGGUUCAAGUUAAAAAGUCUAUAUUAUAAAGUUUCUUAUAAAUGUCUUGUAUUUAAAUAGGUAAUUAUUUUCCAUCUAAAUGAAAGAAAAUAUAUCUGUUAAUGACUACUUUGAUGAGUUUGAUAGAACCAUGAGAGACAUAAGAAAUAUUAUGUCAAAAUUAUUGAUAAAGAUAAGUAAUAAUUUUGAUGUGUUCCCUUCCAAGUUUUUAUAAGAACCUUGUGAAUACCGUAAUAUCUUAUAGAAAUAAUCAUUCCAUAAAGGAGAUGGGGAUAUAAUUAAAUAUAAGGGAGUUUAAGAAUUAAAUGUCUAAGAAUAGAAAAAAGAAAAAAAAAACCUCAUAAAAAUAUCAAUUGGCUAGAAGGUAAAUAGGGAAAAAAAAAAAAAAAACCUUAAGCAAGAUAGGUCGAGAUCUAUAUCAAACUUCAAGGAAAAACCAAGCAUUUCAAUUACAACAAGAAAGAACGUAAUGAGAGGAAUGGUCUAGAAUGUAAAAGAAAGGCAAAAGAGAAAAUUGUUCUUUUAUGAUAUUGUAGCGGCCAAGGAAAUUCCAUGUUAUAUCCCUUUGUAGUUUUUGUAAGUGACUCAAAUAAUGAAUGAAUCCUUGAUAUAGGGUAAUCUUACCAUUUAACUUUGAGUGGAUACCCAUCAAUUUGAUGGUAGGAAAAUUAUUAUGAGAAAUACUACAACUUACAAGAUUGUUAGGAUAUGCACAAUUCAAAUUAAGAUUCUUAAUGAUAUUUUGGAUGAUACUAAUUGAUGUACAAUAUAUUCCAAUGUUGAAAAAAAGCUGAUUUCUUUUGAUACUUUUCAUUCUAAAAAGGUGCAUAUACAAAGGUAGAAGUGGACUAGGGAGAAUAUUGAAGGGUGCUCUUUUCAUAAUGAGAGGACAAAAAGUUAAUAAUUCUCAUACAUUACAAGACAACAUAGUUAUAGGUCCAAUUAUAUACACAAUAAGGUGGGACUAUUUUGAGCAAAGUGGAUUCACUUGAUAAAAAGAUAUUAGAGAGUGAGUAAUAAAAGUAAAUCCUUUUGAAAAAAAAUCUAAAUGUAGAUUUGUUUUGAAAAUAUUCACAAAAAUAGUGUUAGCUUUAGAAUUAAGGUCAUAGUAAACUGUGAAACCAAGGUGUGAUUAAUCUUGAUUUUGAUAAUAACAAAAUAAGGUUUAGAACUAAUGAUCAUAUUUCAAGUGUGAUUAGGCAAGACGAUUUCCAAAGUGACAAUCACAAAGACAAAUCAAGCCAAAGAGAAAUCAUGAAGAAGAAUACCACCUCAAAGAGAAGAGUUUUUCAAGACCAAAGCUUCAUAAGAUCUCUUUGUAAGGUUGUUGGUGCACUAAGACUUUCAUGCAUUUCAUUAUUUAUUUAUGUACUAAAAUUAUCCAAGAGUAAUAUUGUUUUAAAUAUCUUAAGAAUUGGAUGAUUUCAUGUUUUCAACUAAAACCUUGUGUUAAAUGAUUUUCAAACUUGUGUUAAAAGGUUUUAAGUUGAAAAAGGUUAGGUGUUGAGCCAAAAAAAUGGCUCGACCGGUUGUGCUCAUUCGGUCGAGGACCGGUUAAGGGAGGCCAAAAAGUUUCUCUCUCUCCCAGUGGCCUUCUCUUCCCGAUCAAGGUUGAACCUCAACCGGUUGAGGUCCGGUCGAGGUCAUGUUGAGGUCCGGUUGAGGCCCAACAGUCACUUACCAAGCAUUAAAUGCUAACGGCUAGUCAACCGGUCGACUCCUACCUCGACCAAUCGAACCCCCAACGGCUAGUUUGGUUUUUUUCUUCUAUAAAAAUGCUCUAAUCUUCAUUGUUUCAUGAGUUUAACCUUCCCAAAUCUUUCUUGAUUAUAUUUGAGCCUUGGAAGAGUAUUUUUGAGUGCACCAUUAUUUCAAAACUUGCAUAUCUUUAGUGCACCAUUCAAUCCUAAUUUUUCUUGUAUCAUUUGAACUUAAAGUUCUUGUGCUAAGAUUUUUGAAAGAUCAUUCAUUUGUAAAUCUUUAAAAGGAAGUUUCUCAAGUGUGAGGUAUCACUUGAGGGGUUGUUCAAGAGUGGGAUAUCUCUUGAGAAGUGUAAAGGGUGCUUGGAGCCAAAAAUCCAAGAGGGUGAAUUGGAACCAUAAUCCAAUUGUAUUGCUUGAAGGCUUGGUUUGGAAGCCUUGGAUUAGUAGAACCUCAAGCUCGGGAUUGAAGCUAAACGAGAGUGGAUAUAGGCCGGGUUGCACCGAACCACUAUAAACUCUUGUGUUUGCAUUCUCUCUUCACUACUCUUUAAUUUAUAUGCAAUUGUCUAUAUAUUGAUUAUUAUAUACUUGCAUAUAAUUGUCUCUUGCAUUCACUGGUUUAAAUUUGAGAAAAGAGAUCAUCACUCUAUUCACCCCCCUUUAGGGUGAUUACCAUAGGUUGGAUUAGCCUAAUAUUUCUAGCAUAAACUAUAAUUUUUAUUACCAUAAUUAAUGACUAUGGUUUAACCUUAAACUUAAAACCAAGGUCAGUGAUUAUAGUUUUAACAUAAUUUUUUUAAAAAAAAUAAUAAAAUAUAUGUUAAUGAAGAACUAGUUUGAUGAAUAUUUUUAAAAGUAAUCUAAAUUUGGAAUUUCUUUUUCUUGAAAAAAAUUAAUUUUGUGGCAAAUUAUGAAUUUUAAAGAGUAAAAAAUUUUAAAUUAGUUUAAAAAAUUAUUUUUAAAAACUUGUAACAGAUCCAAAACUGCCUUGACACCGACGUUAUACAAAUGUAGGCAUUAAGCCCACAAAUUAAUAAAAUUUGAUAUUUUUAUUUUUAGGGCUACAUUUGGUCCCAGAAAAUACUAAGGAAAGAAAAAAAAAAUGUAAAGGAAAAUGAUUUUUUCAUAUUUGGUUGUCCUAUAAAAAAUAUCAAAGAAAAUCAAAUAUAAUUUAAACUAAUUAAAAAUUUAUGUAUUUUUAAAUUAUUUAAUUUUUAUAUUGAUGAGUUAAAAAAAAUAAAUUGAGUUUAAAGUAACAAAAAAAUAAUUUAUCAACUUUUAAUCUUUUUUAUUUAUUUUUCUCUAUUUUUUCUUUCCUUCUAUUUUUCUUUUGUAUUUUUUUUUUUUUUUUUUGCAUUUUCCUUCAAAUUUUAUGGAACCAAACAUAGCCCAGAGUGGGAUCAAAAUCCAUAACAUAAAAGAUAUUCUCAUGUGGGUCAGGCUUGGACCUAGAGACAGGUCGAAGUAGCAUCUUGUAAAAUCCAUGAGGUAAAACAUAUGAUUAAAAAUCAAUUAAAAUGGGCCAAGGGCCCCAUAACAGAGCCCAUUAGAUACGUGGCACAACAUCGAUGCGCUGUGUAAACCUAUAGAUGACAGGGUCACAGAGUUGCCCCUUGGAACAUCUAACCCUAGGUGCCGUAUAUUCCAUUUUGAAAAUAUAAAAAAAGUUGACUCAACCACGGUUUGCCUGCAUCUAACCAUGGUCGUCAACGUGUCCGAUCUCUUUGAAAGAACUAGGGUUAGGGUUAGGGUUCGAUCCGAUUGCGACCAAUGGAGAUGGAAAGUGUGACUGAGUUUCCUCAUACUCACAUGGAUCGGCGUCCUCGGAAGAGGCCUAGGUUUGCUUGGGAUGCACCUCAACUUCACCCUAAGGUAAAACUCGAAACCUUUUUGGCUGCUUUUGGUUGCCCAGAAUUGGAGUUCCCAUAUUUGGAUUCGGAUUUUGUGCAACCAAACGCAGCUUUGUAUCAUGAUUGUCCUUUUUUUAAAAUUAGAAAUGUUCCAAAUACAUUUUUUAAAAAUAAUUUAUCCAGUAUAUAUAUAUACACAUUCAUAGAAUCUUUUUGAAAUUUAAAAAAUAUUUAAUAAAUCAACAUAAUAACUUCAGAAAUUAAUAUAUUGUAAUGAUUAAAUUUAGGUUAUUAAGUAUAUUUAGUAUUAUAAUUUAAAAUCAAAAUUAAUUUUUGACAAGAAAACUUAAUGACUUAAUAUAACUUAAUAAUUUAAACAUAAAAUUACUUUAAAUUAUUAUUAAGUAUUAUGUUUUAUGAAAUUCUAAUUGACUUAUUUUUCUUGGCAUAUAAGUGUAAACAUAAUUUUCUUGAUUUCAAAAGAAAACACGACAUAGCCUUCAUGUUGGUAGUGGGAGCAAAGACAACAUAAGAAUUUUUGGACUGUUUGACGAUAUUUCAUUAUAUUUGUUUUUAAAAAUUAUGUUUAAGUUAAAGAAUGAAAAGUAAACUUUUGAUGUUUUCUAAAAGGAAAAAUGUUUUACAAUUAAUUUUGAAGUGCAUUCUAUAUAUAUAUAUAUAUAUAUAUAUAUAUAUAUAUAUAUAUAUAUAUAUAUAUAUAUAUAUAUAAAAGGGAAAAAAACAGGUUUGAAUAAAUUGUUCUUAAAAACAAAUUUUUAUUUUGAUUUUAAAAAUGUUGUUAAUCAAUUUAUAUGAUUUAAACUAUAUUUAAUUUAAGUCUUAUUAAAAAUAAAAAUUAAUUUGUUAUUAUAAAUAAAUUUAAAAAUAUAUAGUUUUUAGUAAAAUAUGAAUAUGAAUAUUAUAGUGAAAUCAUAAAUUGUUUUAUAUAUAUAUAAAAAAAAAUGAUAUUGCCGCUAUAACAAAUAUGAUGUUUUAAAAAUAUAUAGAUUUUAGUAAAAUAUGAAUACUAAUAUCAUAAUGAAAUCAUAAAUUGUAUUUUUUUUUCAUAAAAAAUGAUAUUAUAUAUUUUUGUAGUUAAUUAUGAAGAUAUGGAUAUUAAUAUCUUUAUAUAAUACAAUUAUUUUUUUUUAAAUUUAAUUUCUUUUAAUUUGAAAAAAAAAAUCAUAACAUAGAUAAAUUUAGUAACAUAUUUUGAAGAAUUAAUUUUUAAAUUUUCAAAUUAUUUUUUAAAAUUAGAAUAUUUAUUAUUAAGUCUCACUUGAUUUGGUUUCACUUAAUUCAAAAUUGAGUUGUCGAGUAAGAAAAUUUAAAAUAAACAAUAAAAUUAUGAUGUAUUAUAUAUCAUAUUUGGUCUAUUAUUUUUUAUAGUGAUUAAAUAUAUUUUUAAGUUUCAAAUCAUUUUUAAAAAUUAUUAAAUGUUAUAAUAAAUUUAAUAUAUUAAGUCUUGUUUGAUCUGAAAUUUAUUUGUCAAUAAUAAAAUUUAUAAAAAUAUAAUUAUGUGUAAAAAAACAAUAAUAAAAUUAUUCUAGACCAAUUCUUGUAAAUGGAUUUUUGUUAUAAAGUGUAUUAUAUUUUUAGUUGUAAUCAUUUUUCUCAAUUCAUAAACUUGUUAAUAAAUCCAAUGCAUUCAAAUCUACUUGUUUAAUAAAAAAUUUAUGAAAGUAUAGUUUAAAAGUGCAAAAUAGAGUCAUUUUUUUAUCCAUAAAUUUAUAGUAUUAAUUGGUUGAUUAUUUGAGUUUUAAAUUAUUUUUAAAAAUUACUAAAUUCUUUAAUAAAUCUAACGCAUUGAGUUUUAUUUGAUUUUGAGUUUAUUUACCUAAUUAAAAAAUUCACAACAUAUACUUAUAUGUAAGGAAAAAACUAACAAAGUCAUUUACAAUGAAUUUUGAUCUAUCAGUUUCUAAUGGUACUUGAAUUAGUUUUAAAUUGCAUAACUUUCUAGUACUAACUAGAUUAGUUCUUGAGUUCCAAAUUAUCUUCAAGUUUCAAAUUAUUAGUUCUAGCUUAGUUUUUGAGUUUCAAAUUAUUUUUAAAUAAAAUUAUUUCUAAAAAUGAUUAAAUUGUAUGCAUCAAAUAUCAUUUUAUUUGAGGUCUCAUUGUCUAAUAAUUUUUUUUUUUAAAGAAGUAGAAAGAAAUUUGAAAAAAUAAUUAUAAUUAAAAAAGAUAUCAUAUUUGAAGAUUUUAUAUAUAUAUAUAUAUAUAUAUAGUGAUUGGUGAAGAGAAAAUAAAAUGAGAAAAAGAGAUUGUGUUAUUUUUUUUAAUUAUUUUUUUAAGUUCUCCAAAUUUUCCGUUUAUUUUAAAAAAAAAACCAUUAAAAUAAUUUUUAUUUGUUUUCUACAAACUAUUCUUCAUUCCACUUUAAUUUUUAAAAAUUGUUUCCAAAUUGUUACCAAUGAAAAUGUUAUUAAUUUAAAAAAGCAAUUUCUUACCUUUAAAAAUAAAAUUUUAUUUUUAAAUCAUAACAAAAACACAUUAAAUUAUAAGAGUCAUAAACGACAAUGUUGAUAAGAAUCGCAAUCCUUUACUUUUUUUUUCUUUUUUGGCAUCAAUUUCACAAGACAUAUCGUCCUUAUUUCCCUAUGUUAACUAAGAAACAAAAAAUCACUUUACUUAUGAGUAAAGUCCUCCUCAAGAGAUGACCUUAAGAACCAACCUUUCCCACUUUGUGUUGAAAAGAAACCUUUAACAACUUUUGAUAAGUUGUGACACAAAUUAGGCUAUAAUGGUGGUAGAAGGUUGUCCUGAUACUGAAUUUGGCAUUAUGUACAAAAUGAGGUAAAAGAAUGACAAAAAAAUUGAACAUAAUUGAAAAAAAGAGGAAGAAUGCCCGUAAAAAACUAGUAAGUACCAAAGGGAAAUAGGGUCCUCCUCAUCAAUCGUAUCACUCUCUGCAUCUACCAAACUGCAAAAAUCCAUCUUUGCAUAUUGAAAGUGAUGGAGUAAAGCAGAAUUAUUCAUGAAGAAUUUUAACUUCUUCACUAAUAUCUUGAUAAAAAUGGUAAUUAUAUUUGUAUCAUCUACAUGGUAAUUAAUAUUUAUUUUAAUAUCUCACUUUAUCAUAAAUUGCAGAGGUUUUCACUUUCUUUUUAUUUUACACCCCUUAUUAUUUUAUUUUUAAAUAAAAAAGACAUGAGAAACUACACAUUUGUAAUUAGAAAUGAAAAUGAAAAUUAAAAAUUAUUUUUACAUUUUUUUUCAAACUAAUUUUAUUUAUUUUUUUCACCUUUGUAAAGAUUAAAAAUAUAUAAAAAAAUUGAGUAAUUUUAUCUAUAUUUAUUUUUUUGUAUUUUUUUUAGAGUAAAUCAAAUAUGAAAGGUAAAUGAUUUUUUUUCUUAGUACUAUCUUAAACUAAGCGUUGCUAUGCAUGGUAAGUUAUUAAAAUGAUGAUAAUGCCUUAUAAGAAGAAAGGCAACAAAAUUUUUCCCUUUUUCUUUUUCUAAUUUUCCUCAAUUUUUAUUCUCAUUUCUUUGGCGCAAGCUGUUUACAAUCCAAACGAAAUUGAACCUUCCAUGGAAAAGGAAAAAAAAAUAAAACAAAAUAAGAAGCACAAUCAAAUUUCAAAUUUUUUUUCCAUGAAAUAAAUUUCCUUUUUUUUUUAACAUUUUUCAUGGAAGAAACGAUAAAAAUGUUGGGAAAAAAACUAUUCAAAACUAAUUUAUUUUUAAUUUCAAAAACCUAAUUUAUUUUACCUUUUCUUCCUAUUUUUUUUCCCUCUGAUUUUUCUUUAAAACAUUUACGAGAACAAAGCAUAAUCAACCAAACAUAGCCUACACGUUUCCUAUGUCAUUUUCCCAGGAAAAAGGACUGGUGUUUAAUCUCCAUACUCCACUUAUUUUCAUUAAUUUAUCAGCAACUUAAAGUUUUCGUGGGACAAAUACAAAGAAUAUCAAGAACGAUUCCUCUUAUCACCGGUAUUGUUAACAGUGAUGGAGAAUUGGCACAAGGUUCAGAGCGAACUUCUUACGGACAGUAAGACCUGCUGCUUCUUCCAUGUUAAUAUCUGCCUCCCUCAUCCCAUUCGGCAAGUUCCAAUUGAAACGAUAUAAAAGAUUGGCAAGUGCGAGCUCCACUGUUGCAAUCACCAUAUACAUACCCGGGCAAAUUCUUCUACCCGCUCCGAAAGGCAGUAGCUCAAAAUGUUGUCCUCUAAAAUCUACAGAGUUGUCCAUAAACCUCUCGGGCAGAAACUCCUCUGGGUUCUUCCAGAGGUUGGGGUCUCGCCCAAUAGCCCAAACGUUUACUUGGACUUGGGUUUUCGGGUAAAUGUGGUAUCCGUUUAUCUCAAAAUGUGACAUGGUUUCUCUUGGAAGUAGAAGUGGGACGGGAGGAUGUAGUCUCAAAGUUUCUUUGACCACCAUCUUGAGGUAGUGAAGCUGAUCGACAUCACCCUCCGUGACUUUUCCUUUAUUUCCAAUGGAGUUUCUAACUUCAACCUGGGCUUUUUUCAUUAUUCUUGGGUUCCUAGCAAGCUCGGUCAUUGCCCAAGUUAGGGUGAUUGCACCAGUGUCCACUCCAGCCAAGAAUAAAUCCUGAGGCAC
This 18438-nucleotide long non-coding RNA is filed under the name Vitis vinifera (wine grape). Its description in RNAcentral is "long non-coding RNA (VVIN_LNC000111)". Lineage: Eukaryota; Viridiplantae; Streptophyta; Magnoliopsida; Vitales; Vitaceae. The record is from RNAcentral.